Molecule: regulatory RNA element, 97 nt
Organism: Nitrosococcus halophilus
Lineage: Bacteria; Pseudomonadati; Pseudomonadota; Gammaproteobacteria; Chromatiales; Chromatiaceae
Rfam family: TPP riboswitch aptamer (THI element)
About the family: Vitamin B(1) in its active form thiamin pyrophosphate (TPP) is an essential coenzyme that is synthesised by coupling of pyrimidine and thiazole moieties in bacteria. The previously detected thiamin-regulatory element, thi box was extended, resulting in a new, highly conserved RNA secondary structure, the THI element, which is widely distributed in eubacteria and also occurs in some archaea.
Source: Rfam
AACAGCAGCUAGGGGUGCCGAGCAAUUGCCCGGCUGAGAGAGUCCCUCUGAACCUGAUCCGGUUGGUACCGGCGUAGGGAAGCUGAAAAGCACAGGC